Macaca mulatta (Rhesus monkey) is the source of this 632-nucleotide non-coding RNA. Lineage: Eukaryota; Metazoa; Chordata; Mammalia; Primates; Cercopithecidae. The record is from RefSeq and is a predicted model, not a curated record.
CUCCUUCUUCAGACAAUAGAGAAAGAAUGGAAGACUCAGUCCAAAGACUGCAGAAGUUCUGCUGUUUUGUGACAUGGAGAAGAUCAGCAUCUCCUUGCAUUUAUUGUCUUUCACCUUCUAGGUGAUGCUAAGGAUCAAAUGAUAUGAGAAAAUAUUUCCCACAUUUAAAAAUGUAUACAAAGCACAGAACUGAUGCACUGGAUGAUGAAUUGGGGAACCAUUCAAUGUCAAACAAGGCAGAACAGCAGACUGGAGAGUGACCUUUAGUUAACUAGAAAAUGACAGCAGCUAGGCCAUGCCUUGAACAAUCAAGCUUAUGAAUGUUUUUAGUCUGCAUUGAAUACGUACUGAUCUACCUAGGAACCUGAUGCAAUAGGAGAAGAGACAAACUGCUAAAUAUGAAAGAGGAUAAAAGAACUGAGAACUACAUAAUGAAUUGCAGAGAGGAGUAUGGUGGAGAAUUAUAGUGUGCCUUGCAUCCGGAGACUAAAUCCCAGUGAAAACUUCUGAGGAGACAUGGCAAAUACUAGAGGGAGGAAGAAGUCAUGAACAACUUGCUGGAUGAGAUAACAAGACCAUCCAUAGAAAAAAUGUGACUUAUUCUACAAAAAGGCUACUAGAACAAAUCAGUG